UACAGAGGGUGCGAGCGUUAAUCGGAAUUACUGGGCGUAAAGCGUGCGUAGACGGUCAUGUAAGUCGGGUGUGAAAGCCCCGGGCUCAACCUGGGAAUUGCAUUCGAGACUGCAUGGCUAGGAUGCGGAAGAGGGAAGCGGAAUUUCCGGUGUAGCGGUGAAAUGCGUAGAUAUCGGAAGGAACAUCAGUGGCGAAAGCGACUUCCUGGACCAGUACCGACGUUCAGGCACGAAAGCGUGGGGAGCAAACAGG
This 253-nucleotide ribosomal RNA is filed under the name uncultured bacterium. Its description in RNAcentral is "partial 16S ribosomal RNA". It matches the Rfam family "Bacterial small subunit ribosomal RNA", at positions 524 to 776 of the family's 1533-position model. The record is from RNAcentral.